This 311-nucleotide ribosomal RNA is filed under the name Heterosigma akashiwo. Its description in RNAcentral is "partial Eukaryotic large subunit ribosomal RNA". It matches the Rfam family "Eukaryotic large subunit ribosomal RNA", at positions 641 to 965 of the family's 3401-position model. Lineage: Eukaryota; Raphidophyceae; Chattonellales; Chattonellaceae. The record is from RNAcentral.
UAAACGACCCGUCUUGUAACACGGACCAAGGAGUCUAACAGAUGUGCAAGCUAUUGGGUGUGUAUACCUUCUAGCGCAAUGAAAGUGAUUGCUGGGAUGUUUGCACCAGCAGGCGACUGAUUAGUGGUCAGAGGUUUGAGUGUGAGUAUGUUUAUUAGGACCCGAAAGAUGGUGAACUAUGCCUGAACAGAAUGAAUUCAGAGGAAACUCUGAUGGAAGUUCGUAUCGAUACUGACGUGCAAAUCGUUCGUCAUACUUGGGUAUAGGGGCGAAAGACUAAUCGAACCAUCUAGUAGCUGGUUCCCUCCGAA